RNAcentral lists this ribosomal RNA (324 nucleotides) under Conticribra weissflogii. Its description in RNAcentral is "partial Eukaryotic small subunit ribosomal RNA". It matches the Rfam family "Eukaryotic small subunit ribosomal RNA", at positions 1397 to 1719 of the family's 1831-position model. Lineage: Eukaryota; Bacillariophyta; Thalassiosirophyceae; Thalassiosirales; Thalassiosiraceae. The record is from RNAcentral.
UUGGUGAGAUCUUCUUAGAGGUACGUUCAUUCUACAAGAUGAAGGAAGAUGGCGGCAAUAACAGGUCUGUGAUCCCCUUAGAUGUCCUGGGCCGCACGCGCGCUACACUGACAGAGCCAACGAGUUCUUCACCUUGUUCGAAAGAAUUGGGUAAUCUUGUUAAACUCUGUCGUGCUGGGGAUAAAGCAUUGCAAUUAUUGCUUUUCAACGAGGAAUGCCUAGUAAGCGCGUGUCAUCAGCAUGCGUUGAUUACGUCCCUGACCUUUGUACACACCGCCCGUCGCUACUACCGAUUGAAUGGCUCAGUGAGGCCUUCGGACUGGC